This 647-nucleotide ribosomal RNA is filed under the name uncultured organism. Its description in RNAcentral is "bacterial SSU rRNA". It matches the Rfam family "Bacterial small subunit ribosomal RNA", at positions 27 to 661 of the family's 1533-position model. The record is from RNAcentral.
GAACGAACGCUGGCGGCGCGUUNUAAGCAUGCAAGUCGUGGGGUAGAGCACCUUCGGGUGCUUGAGACCGGCGGACGGGUGAGUAACACGUAGGUAAUUACCUGAGGGUUGGGGAUAGCCCAUGGAAACAUGGGGUAAUACCGAAAAUACGUCUUAUUUUACAUAAGUGAGAUAAGGGAAAGGUGCUUAGGCACCGGCCCCGGAUAAGCCUGCGGCUCAUUAGUUAGUUGGUGGGGUAACGGCCUACCAAGGCAACGAUGAGUAGCCGGCCUGAGAGGGUGAACGACCACACUGGGACUGAGACACGGCCCAGACUCCUACGGGAGGCAGCAGCUAAGAAUCUUCCGCAAUGGACGAAAGUCUGACGGAGCGACGCCGCGUGUGUGAUGAAGGCGGAAACGUUGUAAAGCACUUUUCCUGGGGAAGAAUAAGGUGAGGAGGUAAUGCCUCAUCGAUGACACGAACUAGGGAAUAAGCCCCGGCUAAUUACGUGCCAGCAGACGCGGUAACACGUAAGGGGCAAGCGUAGUACGGAAUUAUUGGGCGUAAAGGGCGUGUAGGCGGACUGGUAAGUCUGGUGUGAAAGACCGCAGCUUAACUGCGGGACCGCGCUGGAAACUAUCAGGCUAGAGUCUAAGAGGGGGAAC